UGGAGCUAACAGCAUAUAAAAUUCGUGCAUACAACAUCUUCGCUAACAAAACUUCCAUCUAUAAAGGUUUGAGUAAAUAAGAGGAUUAACUGACUAAUUAACAAAUAAGACAUCCUUUUCAAUGUUUUGGUACAAGAAUCAUAUUGUCAACUAAAACAUGCCGUAAAUUGAGGAUUGAAUUGCCCUAAAAUCCUCUUAAAAUGUCUCCAUACAGAAAAGACUAAAAAGAACAAAUAGAUUCGAGGAAACAUGUGUUGGGUAGGUUACAGGAAGCAACUUUAUACUAUCACAGAAAAGACUAAAAAGAACAAAUAGAUUCGAGGAAACAUGUGUUGGGUAGGUUACAGGAAGCAACUUUAUACUAUCAAAACCUGGAAGCAACAAACAAUUUGGUCCGCAGUGUAAUAUAUGCUCUCUCAAGGAACUGCAAUACGACACUUCUAGUCAAUCUUCACUGAUGAGUAGAUGAGCCUCGUGAACCAGAAGCACGCAUAGAACCCAAUUGUGCCAGUCAAGACAAAGAAAGCAUAUGAUGCGAUCAACAUGUAGCCGAAGUACAGCAUACCAGAUACGGGCUUUGUGAUCUCAAGCUUUGUGAAGAAAUAGAAUGCUGCAUACAGGAAUAGGUAGAGAGCCGAUGACCCUGAAGUGAGGUAUGAUCUCCACCACCAAAGGUAGUCCUCGCUGCAUAGCUGGAAAUAGCAGAGCACAAUGGUGAUCUCGGCACAGGUGAUGAUAAGGAUGACGAGCACAAUGAAG
RNAcentral lists this long non-coding RNA (759 nucleotides) under Nicotiana tabacum (common tobacco). RNAcentral's name for it is "long non-coding RNA (NTAB_LNC013125)". The record is from RNAcentral. Lineage: Eukaryota; Viridiplantae; Streptophyta; Magnoliopsida; Solanales; Solanaceae.